This 253-nucleotide ribosomal RNA is filed under the name uncultured bacterium. RNAcentral's name for it is "partial 16S ribosomal RNA". It matches the Rfam family "Bacterial small subunit ribosomal RNA", at positions 524 to 776 of the family's 1533-position model. The record is from RNAcentral.
UACGUAGGGGCCGAGCGUUGUCCGGAGUUAUUGGGCGUAAAGCGCGCGCAGGCGGCCUCGCGCGCCCGACGUGAAAGCCCCCGGCUUAACCGGGGAGGGUCGUUGGGGACGGCGGGGCUUGAGGGCGGGAGAGGUCGGUGGAAUUCCCGGUGUAGUGGUGAAAUGCGUAGAGAUCGGGAGGAACACCUGUGGCGAAGGCGGCCGACUGGGCCGACCCUGACGCUGAGGCACGAAAGCGUGGGGAGCAAACAGG